Betta splendens (Siamese fighting fish) is the source of this 422-nucleotide long non-coding RNA. RefSeq lists it as uncharacterized. The record is from RefSeq and is a predicted model, not a curated record. The transcript has 2 exons. NCBI's taxonomy places the organism in Eukaryota, Metazoa, Chordata, Actinopteri, Anabantiformes, Osphronemidae.
AUUACAUAAUGAAGGCAACAUGGAGCACAGAUUGCCUGUUUGUGUGGCUCCACCUCAUGAUUGAGGGGGGGGGGGGGGGGGUUCUGGCUCAUCACUAUGGAGCCAUGGAGCUCGGAUUAUUGCAGCUUUAAACUCAAUCUAUUUCAAAUAGUUCUAUCUUUGAUCUUUAUUCCGCAUCCUUGAUAAGCAGUUGAAAUCCAGUCACGGUUUCCAGCCCGUUUUUAUGAGCUCGUCUCUUCCUCUUCCUCACUGCCGGACACGGCGGUUCCGGUCCAGAGGCCUCGUUCUGCUCCGCCACCACCUCCACUGACGGCACCGACACAGACACAGGCUUCUCUUUGGGCUUUUUCUUUUUCUGAAAUGAAAGACGUUUUCUUCAUAUUGUGUUUAGCUGAUAUGAAUAAAGCAAAACAUUUAUCACA